CAAUAGCGUAUACUAAAGUUGUUGCAGUUAAAAAGCUCGUAGUUGGAUUUCUAAUCUCUCUUGUGGUUCCUUUUCUAAAGAAAUGUGCGACUAUUCAAGAGAGAUUAUCCUCGUGCCUAGCUUUUCUCACUUUUAUUAGUGGGGAAAGGGACGCACGUCAUUUACUGUGAGCAAAAUAGAGUGUUCAAAGCAGGCUUAGGCCAUGAAUAUAUUAGCAUGGAAUAAUAAGAUAGGACCUUGGUCUAUUUUGUUGGUUUACAUUCCAAGGUAAUGAUUAAUAGGGAUAGUUGGGGGUAUUCGUAUUCAAUUGUCAGAGGUGAAAUUCUUGGAUUUAUGGAAGACGAACUACUGCGAAAGCAUUUACCAAGGAUGUUUUCAUUGAUCAAGAACGAAAGUUAGGGGAUCGAAGACGAUCAGAUACCAU
This 424-nucleotide ribosomal RNA is filed under the name uncultured eukaryote. RNAcentral's name for it is "SSU rRNA". It matches the Rfam family "Eukaryotic small subunit ribosomal RNA", at positions 592 to 1018 of the family's 1831-position model. The record is from RNAcentral.